Molecule: ribosomal RNA, 404 nt
Filed under: uncultured bacterium
Lineage: Bacteria
Description: bacterial SSU rRNA
Rfam family: Bacterial small subunit ribosomal RNA
Source: RNAcentral
UGGGGAAUUUUGCGCAAUGGGGGCAACCCUGACGCAGCAACGCCGCGUGCGGGACGGAGGCCUUCGGGUCGUAAACCGCUUUCAGCAGGGAAGAACCAUGACGGUACCUGCAGAAGAAGCUCCGGCUAACUACGUGCCAGCAGCCGCGGUAAUACGUAGGGAGCGAGCGUUAUCCGGAUUCAUUGGGCGUAAAGCGCGCGUAGGCGGCUCGCCAAGCGGGGUCUCAAACCCGGGGGCUCAACCUCCGGCCCGACCCCGAACCGGCGGGCUCGAGUUCGGUAGAGGAAGACGGAAUUCCCGGUGUAGCGGUGAAAUGCGCAGAUAUCGGGAAGAACACCGAUGGCGAAGGCAGUCUUCUGGGCCGACACUGACGCUGAGGUGCGAAAGCUAGGGGAGCGAACAGG